Non-coding RNA from Cordylochernes scorpioides, 78 nucleotides. The record is from the annotation of a GenBank genome assembly. Lineage: Eukaryota; Metazoa; Arthropoda; Arachnida; Pseudoscorpiones; Chernetidae.
AACACGUUGGCCUAAUGGAUAUGGCGUUGGCCUCCGGAGUUAAAGAUUGUGGGUUCGAUUCCCAUCAGGAUCGUGUUU